Phacochoerus africanus (Common warthog) is the source of this 2271-nucleotide long non-coding RNA. RefSeq lists it as uncharacterized. The transcript is spliced from 3 exons. Lineage: Eukaryota; Metazoa; Chordata; Mammalia; Artiodactyla; Suidae. The record is from RefSeq and is a predicted model, not a curated record.
GCCCAAGAAAUAGCAAAAAAAGACCAAAAAAAAGUCAUGGGUGCACGCCAUUGUGUGGUAUCUGGUAACGGCUGUCCACGCCAACAAAACACACUUUCUCCUCUCUGCCACCCUCCCCACCACCCCUCUUCUUUCCCGUUUCCCUCCAAACACUGCUCGGAUGCCUCCAUACGUUUACAAAUAGGUAUCCGUGAAGCAUCUGCUAGGCGCACGCCCUUGAUGGGCUCGGGUGCAGCCGGAGCCCAAGAAAGCCUGUGUCCCUCCUCACAGGAUGGAGCUGACUCUGUCGUGAGGGGGAAGAUACUAACAAAGGAGGAAGGAAAGCAAAUGUUUUAAAAGAGCGGGUUCCCUGGUGACUCAGCGGGUGAAAGAGCUGGCGUUAGCCCUGCUGUGGCUCAGGUCGCUGCUGUGGUGCUGGUUCCAUCCCUGGCCCAGGAAUAUCCACCUACCACAGGCCUAGUGGAAAAUAAACAUAAGUUUUAAAAAGGGAGUUCCCUGGUGGUGCGGUGGUUAGGACUUGGGGCUUUCACGGCUGCACCCCAGGUUCAACCCCUGGUCUGGGAACCAAGAUUCCUACAUCAAACUGCUGCACGUCGUGGCCCAGAAGGAAAAAAGAAGGGUUGUGGGACAAGGGGGGAUAUUGGUUCAAAGGUGGAAGCUUGUUUUACAGGAAGCGCAAGUGCUGGAGGUCCACGGUGCAGCGUGGCAGCCAUGGUUAGUGCUACUCUGUAAAUACACAAACUGUACACUUGACUUGCUAAGCGAGUGGGUUUGAAAGGUUCUCACACACACGGUGGUAUCUGAGGUAAGGGAUGUGUUAAUAAUUUGACUGGUACUCAUUGCCCUAAGUAUACACGUAUCUAAACAUCGCAUUAUGUAAUACCUCUGUAAAGCUGGGGGAAAGAAGGUAAUUUCAGGGGCUGGGACGACAUGCAUAAAAGAAAGCAGGAUAGUGGGUGGAAGGUGAGGGUGGGAAACAGGAGAGACAAGUUCUUUUGCCUGCCUUGGUCUGGAGGGCAAUCCAGGACUCUGCACUUUUAAUGAUUUCUCUCCCCCCUUUCCCCUUUCUGAUGCAGGUGCAUUCUGGAACAUGGCUUUUAAAAAUCCUGGCUACACCAUGGCAGGCACAGUGCCAGGUGAUCUACAAGAAGCAUCUAUCAUAAUCCACAUCACACUCCAAGGAUCCAGAGAGAAUGUUUCCCCACUUUUAGAAGAGAACUCUGUCUCAGAAAGGGUUUUGGAAUCUGCUGUGUAGUUACAGCAUUUCUCAGUGGGGACUAGCCACUUUCCGGGCGCUCUGCCACAAAUGCUCGCAGCUACCAUAUUGGAAACACAGGCCUAAAACCCGCUGCGAGGAAGCUGAUCAGGCUGCGGUUUCCAUGGCAACAGUCUCGUUACUGGCAGUCGAGUACCCUCGAGGGGACAGAGCAGCAGUCAGAAGAACCUGGACCGGGGGUGGCGUGACUGGGCCGAGAGUGGGGGCUGCAAGCCCCCCCCCCCCACAGAACCGGUCCCUCCAGCCUCGAGUGCUCAUGAGAAGGUCUCCUCGAGUGUGGUCUCUGCAGACGGGGAGUGCUUUUAUGUUUAUAAAGAGAGAACCCUGCAGGCUGCCGCCGACUGAGAGAAAGGACAGCUGCUGCAGGUGCUGGGACACCCAUCCUCUCCUCUGCCCACUCAGUCACGUCCCGUUCUUCCUUGGGCACAAGAGGACUGGGUGCCUGGGACAUGGUGGGCACCUGAAUAGAGCUGGGAGGCACCCCUUCCCACAAGGGCUGGGCCUCAAAAGCUUCAAGCGUCUCCCCCACCACCCCCGAAACCUCGAGUGCGAGAGUCCACUCAGCCUCGUUUGGAAGGACAGUGGUCACCUGUCCUCUGGUUCCCAUUAUCACCCAACUGUCCCACGGAGCUAACAAUAGAUGAAAGAAUCAGCCGCCCCUCGGGACCCAAGUGGCAGGUCUUAGGAGAUGGAGGGAGGCGGGGAAGCGGGUGCGCAAAGGAAAGCGUCUGUCCGGCGGUGCCUUCAGAACGGAUGGCUGUUGGUUCUGAAACGCUGCGCUGAUGCAUCUCAGUUCAGACUCUCAGGACAGGUGCUCCCGGCGGCACCUUUGAUGGCUGGGCAAAGUCUCAGGAAGUCGUGCCUCGGGAGGGGAAGCAGAGGGCCUGGGGACAGAGGGUAAACAUCCACUUGAGCAAAGGUUUUGUUGGUUGGGUUUUUUUCCCCCCUGAAACUGUAUAAACCAUCCAUGUUUUCUUCCAAUGACAGUGGGCCUU